AAACCAGCACCUCAAGUGGUCAGGAUGAUUAUUGGGCCUAAAGCAUCCGUAGCCUGCUCUGUAAGUUUUCGGUUAAAUCUGUACGCUCAACGUACAGGCUGCCGGGAAUACUGCAGAGCUAGGGAGUGGGAGAGGUAGACGGUACUCGGGAGGAAGUAGUAAAAUGCUUUGAUCUCUCGAUGACCACCUGUGGCGAAGGCGGUCUACCAGAACACGUCCGACGGUGAGGGAUGAAAGCUGGGGGAGCAAACCGGAUUAGAAACCCCGGUAGUCC
This 274-nucleotide ribosomal RNA is filed under the name uncultured bacterium. RNAcentral describes it as "partial 16S ribosomal RNA". It matches the Rfam family "Archaeal small subunit ribosomal RNA", at positions 473 to 747 of the family's 1478-position model. The record is from RNAcentral.